Molecule: ribosomal RNA, 498 nt
Filed under: uncultured bacterium
Lineage: Bacteria
Description: partial 16S ribosomal RNA
Rfam family: Bacterial small subunit ribosomal RNA
Source: RNAcentral
GACGAACGCUGGCGGCGUGCCUAAUACAUGCAAGUCGAGCGGACGAAUCGAAAGCUUGCUUUUGAUUCGUUAGCGGCGGACGGGUGAGUAACACGUGGGCAACCUGCCCUGUAGACGGGGACAACACCGAGAAAUCGGUGCUAAUACCGGAUAACACGAAAUGUCGCAUGACGUUUCGUUGAAAGACGGCGCAAGCUGCCGCUACAGGAUGGGCCCGCGGCGCAUUAGCUAGUUGGUGAGGUAACGGCUCACCAAGGCGACGAUACGUAGCCGACCUGAGAGGGUGAUCGGCCACACUGGGACUGAGACACGGCCCAGACUCCUACGGGAGGCAGCAGUAGGGAAUCUUCCGCAAUGGACGAAAGUCUGACGGAGCAACGCCGCGUGAGCGAAGAAGGCCUUCGGGUCGUAAAGCUCUGUUGUUAGGGAAGAACAAGUAACGCAGUAACUGGCGUUACCGUGACGGUACCUAACGAGAAAGCCACGGCUAACUACGUG